RNAcentral lists this ribosomal RNA (271 nucleotides) under Salmonella enterica. RNAcentral describes it as "partial 23S ribosomal RNA". It matches the Rfam family "Bacterial large subunit ribosomal RNA", at positions 2660 to 2925 of the family's 2925-position model. RNAcentral also lists the same sequence under 2 other names. The record is from RNAcentral. Lineage: Bacteria; Pseudomonadati; Pseudomonadota; Gammaproteobacteria; Enterobacterales; Enterobacteriaceae.
GAUUGAGGGGGGCUGCUCCUAGUACGAGAGGACCGGAGUGGACGCAUCACUGGUGUUCGGGUUGUCAUGCCAAUGGCACUGCCCGGUAGCUAAAUGCGGAAAAGAUAAGUGCUGAAAGCAUCUAAGCACGAAACUUGCCCCGAGAUGAGUCUUCCCUGAGACUUUGAGUCUCCUGAAGGAACGUUAAAGACGAUGACGUUGAUAGGCCGGGUGUGUAAGCGCAGCGAUGCGUUGAGCUAACCGGUACUAAUGAACCGUGAGGCUUAACCUU